AUGAACGCUGGCGGCGUGCCCAAUACAUGCAAGUCGAGCGAACGGACGAGAAGCUUGCUUCUCUGAUGUUAGCGGCGGACGGGUGAGUAACACGUGGAUAACCUACCUAUAAGACUGGGAUAACUUCGGGAAACCGUAGCUAAUACCGGAUAAUAUUUUGAACCGCAUGGUUCAAAAGUGAAAGACGGUCUUGCUGUCACUUAUAGAUGGAUCCGCGCUGCAUUAGCUAGUUGGUAAGGUAACGGCUUACCAAGGCAACGAUGCAUAGCCGACCUGAGAGGGUGAUCGGCCACACUGGAACUGAGACACGGUCCAGACUCCUACGGGAGGCAGCAGUAGGGAAUCUUCCGCAAUGGGCGAAAGCCUGACGGAGCAGCGCCGCGUGAGUGAUGAAGGUCUUCGGAUCGUAAAACUCUGUUAUUAGGGAAGAACAUAUGUGUAAGUAACUGUGCACAUCUUGACGGUACCUAAUCAGAAAGCCACGGCUAACUACGUG
Molecule: ribosomal RNA, 496 nt
Filed under: uncultured bacterium
Lineage: Bacteria
Description: partial 16S ribosomal RNA
Rfam family: Bacterial small subunit ribosomal RNA
Source: RNAcentral